Long non-coding RNA from Phyllostomus discolor (pale spear-nosed bat), 3469 nucleotides. RefSeq lists it as uncharacterized. The record is from RefSeq and is a predicted model, not a curated record. NCBI's taxonomy places the organism in Eukaryota, Metazoa, Chordata, Mammalia, Chiroptera, Phyllostomidae. The transcript has 2 exons.
AACACUGCAUCUACCCCCCCACCCCCACACACCCCUCCAGCACACAGACACACAUUCACACCAGCCAAACAACGCAGGAUCCAAAGCACACCCUUCUCAAAGUACAAUGAUCUAUUUCUAGCUAGAAUACCAACCGAACAUUUUGCAUUCCAUCUGGGGAAGAACGCUAAGAGACAAUGAUGCACAAUGAUGCAGAUAGGAAAAGACAGACAAGUGGGGAGAAAAAGGAGGAAAGAAUAAUGGUGAUUUCAUUAAAGAGAAGAUAAAAUUGUGAUCUUUGAAAACCUAAAAUAUCUAUAUCUAGUCAAUGGAAUCCUGUGUCAACCCCGACCACCAAAUAUAAUUAUUUUAAAACAAGAUACUACAGUCAUCUAAGCAUUCAUAUUUCCCAGACAAAAGUGCAGAUCUUUAUAGUUGAAUAAAGCCACUGAGUAUGUAAUGGUCCUAAAUAUUAGAUAUAACAGAACCAUUAAAUCCCACAGUAAAAAACAGACCAUCUGAUCUAAGUUAUAAAACACAAAUUUAAUUAAUCUUUAAUUACAAAACACAGCUUAGCAAAAACUAAAUGUUAAAUCAAAGAUUUUGAAAACAAAUAUUGUUUGCCAAUGUAUAGAAAUGAUAGCUUUACAUUAUAUUGUAAACAAAACUCCAUUUCAGGAGUAAUUACAAGAUAGAAAAAGAUGCAAGCAAAAAAGAAGUAAUUAAAUGAUUUCCAAACUUUUGCUUUAAAAUAAUUUUCAGUGGAAGUCUAAGAGAAAAAGGUUAAAGAAACUAUACCUCAGAGGGAAAAGAUCAUCUUCUUUUCUUCUUUGUCUAUCAGUCCCUUGUUAAAGCAUAUGGAAAAUGUUUUCAAAAUGCCCAGAUUUGGCACACUGUCAUAGCAAAGAGAGGAGCACUGUGAUGCUGGAGAGAAGAUGGGAAAUAAAUUCAGGAUUGGGUGCUGCCUCCUUCAAUGUGGAUUUAUCUAAGUUUAAUUUAAUAUUCUGCAAUCACUGGAUGAUCACAUAUAAUUCACCAAGAUUUUAAAGGGCUUUAUUUAAAUACCUCGAGCAACAAGAGAAUGAAACUUAAGCCAUUGCAACCAUUGCUUAUAUAUUUUUAUUUUCUCAUUAGAACUUUAAGUGGCAGUUUCUAAUAAAAGGGAAAACGAUAAACGUUUUGUUUUUUUAAGGGGAGAAUGCUCAAGGAAAGCAUUAGCUUUAUUAAAAUCAUUCUGAACAUAAAAUCAAAAAGCACAAAAUAGUUGUUUGUAAAACACUAAACCUUUAAUCGAUUUUAUUGGCAUUCCGAUCGAUUAGAUAAACGGAAAUCUAUAGCAAACAUCAAAGCAUUUAAAACAUUUUCUCUAUCACAUUUAUAAACAAAACUUUUCAACAGAAAAAAAUGAUUAUCAAACGACUAACAGGAAAUUCUUCAGAUAUCAAAUUACGAUAAUAAAAUUAUUUCCACAUGGAAAGGGAUAAUGACAAUGAUGAUAGUAAUUACAAUAAUGAAUAAUUCAACAACCCUUUGACAUGUAUGGAAGAACCUCGAGCAGAAACUGUCUUGGAGGGGGCUACUUUAAAAUAAAUACUUUAUUUUUAAAGGAAAUGUUUCUUAGAGACACUCAAGGGGAUAGGUUUAGGUGUGGUUAUCGGACUCCUGUUAAUUUCCCUGCAUUUGCAAAGGAGUCAAUUUCUUUGCUAGCGUCUUUCUUUCAAAUUGAAUUAUUUCUUGCCAGCAAAAAUUAAUAUGCAAAUGCCAGGGCGCCCUACCAGGUUUACAAACUUGUGUCUGGACCUGUCUUCUUAUUCUAAAAGGUGAUUCCUAAAUUAUGGGGGGAGGGGGAGUGGAAUGCAGGCGAGGAAUCGACUCCUCAAAUCUGAAGGUGAUCACAAGGUUUGAUCUUUUAAGUGAAGGGAAACAAUUUAUUAGGAGCUAGGGAAACUGCUGUCCCGAGAAACGCAGUCAUCAGAGAGCAUGACAUUCUAGCGGCAGCAAGAGGACGUGUUUCUGUAACGGGUAUUGCUUAUUUGUUAAAGAAAAUCAAUGAAAGUGACCGUAAAGUAGUUCGUGAAGCGAGUGUUUGGGACUCGGGGUGGACCCUGCAGGCUGAACCAGCAGCCCCGGUUCUUGCCGAAGAGUCCCCGCGUCGUCCCGAGCCCGGUGCAGGCUGCGCAGCGCUCGGUGUCCAGCUCGCGGUGCUGAGCGCAGUGCCCUGUCAGCCGCCUAAGUCGUUUCCAGUAGCGACACUUCUGACCCUGGGUCCGGACAGUGGCUCCUUCCAGUGGCCUGUGGCUGUCUUUCCACGCCCUCCCUCGGCAGCCCGCACCUUGUUCUUCCUUUCUUGCUAUCCCUUGUCCUUUCCUCCUUCCUUUUCGAUACAGGUCUGAACUAACUUUUGUACUUCUUCGCUCGCGAUCGGAAUUUCACUCUUCGAAAUUUCUGUCUUCUCGGGGAAUCGCCCAGUCCUUCCUACCAGCCCCUCCCCCCGGGUUCUGUCCUGCCUUUUCUUUAGUACCCGGGCACUGCUAUGCAGUCCUCCAGACAUUCCAGAGAGUUCUCAUCGCACCAGAACUUGCUCUUGCCUCCUCCUCCUGCCCUGGAUUGGUGUGGGAGGGGGUGAUUUCGAGUUGAACUCCCAAGGGUUUUUAUUCUAUUCUUUUAACAGCUUCACUUUCCCUUUUCUUCUCUGCAUAACCUUCACCUACCUACUAAUUUAUAACAGAAGCGGUUCUUUCCCUUUGCUUGCGCGGUUUACAGUUUCCGUCGGGGCUGCGCGCACACAACCCUGCGUCGCCAGCCGCCUGCCCGCCAAUGACUUCCGUCUAUUCGGUUGCCGUCUAAUUGCUCUUUAUCUUCUCACAUGGUCAGCAUUCCCACCUCCCCCUUCAUCUCCACCCUCACUGCGGCCCGGCUGCAGGAGGGGAGCGCGGCCCGAAGACCUCGUCCUCUGCCUUCUGAUUUCUCGCUGCUGCAGCUGACGCUGAAAUUCGCUGUGGCCGCUGCCUCUUCCCGCUUUAAUCCCAGACCUCCAGUCAUUGGGCAGCUCCUCAGAGGCAAGAAGUCAACACCAUGGCAACACGACAAGCCUAUCAAAUCACCGGCUGGCGUGACCGCAGCAGCGUUGUAGACAGGAGUGGGCUGGGCAGAGGAACCGAGGGGCCACUAGCUCAGGUACAGUCUUGGGGUGGUCAGCAGCUGUCAGCCCCUGCCGUCUGGCUACACAGAUGUGCACCACCCAGUUCAUACCCGGACCCUAAAUUCCCUAGUAGGUGAGGAGGAGGAGGGGGAAGGAUGCGUAUAGGAUUGAGAUUGCUGCAGAAGAGCUUCAAGCUAAAAGUCACCAAAGCCCUAGAUAUUGUGAAUUAAAGAUGCCUUGUGCCUAGAAUGGAAGGAAUCACUAAGUCACAACAGCUUCAGAACCAAUUGUCAGGACUUGGCCCAAAGGUGUGGGUUUCUUCUUCAAAAGUUCUGUCACUUGCUUAAA